This 6054-nucleotide long non-coding RNA is filed under the name Gossypium raimondii (Peruvian cotton). RNAcentral describes it as "long non-coding RNA (GRAI_LNC007110)". Lineage: Eukaryota; Viridiplantae; Streptophyta; Magnoliopsida; Malvales; Malvaceae. The record is from RNAcentral.
AAGGGAAAAGCAACGGCCUGCAGGAAUUGCCAAUCACAGACAAUGGUAGAUCAAUGAAUGUUGUUGAUGGAGCUGCGAAUGCUGUUAACAUUCCGGAUUCAAAGAACACCUACAGCACUCGAGGAACAUAAAACAAUAUUGAUAUUUCCUUCAAAAUGCUGAUAUAUUUCAAGCAGAGUUUGUUCUUCCCAAGGCGAUAAAAAACUACUAUGUAACCCACCCCUCCCACAAACUAUUUUCUACCUUUAAUAAUCAUCUUUUGAUUGUACUGUUGAGGCUAAUUUGGUGAGUAAAAACCAUGAAUCAAUCGCGGUUUGCUUAUGCUUUCCCCCAAUUAUUCCAUUUCCGUACUUCUUUUUUUCUUUUUGGCUUAAGCUCAUCGGAUACUAUAACAAAAAGAUCUACUGCAAAAGUCAAAAUAACUUGCUCCAUGAAUUUUACUGCUAUCUCAAACUUUCCACGUUCAUCAUUUGUUCAAGCGUAUGGAGCUUUUUUUGCUUCUUUUUCACAUCCUGAUAGCUACAUUGCUAUAUAUUUGCUCUUCUUGUUUAUGACUUCGCAAGGUGAAGAUAUAAAAGCUAAAAGAAAAGGUUAAAUUCUGCAAUUAGUCCCUGCACUUUGAGAAAGUUGUGGGUUUAAUCCAUGUACUUUAAUUUGAUUAUUUCUAGUCCCUGUACUUUUCAAAAUUUAAAUUUUCAGUCGUAAUCAAACAAUAACUGUUAAAUUCAUUAACUUCUGCUAUUUCUAAAAUUUGAUCUCCAAAUAUAUUAUCAUGUGUGUAAUACCAUGUCAACUUGUUAUUUCCACAUAUUACUCACUAAAAAUCCAGUUGAUGGAUUAACGACGGUCAUUUAUGUCAAGACUGAAAUUUUAAAAUUCAAAAAGUAAAGAGACUUAGAAUGAUCCAAUUAAAGAAUACAAACCAAAUUUACAAUUAUACGUGUGGUACAAUACUAGUAAUUACAACUAUUUGAGUAAGGACUAAAAUUAACCAAUUAAAAACAACUAGGAUUGAAAUUGAUCAAAUUAAAGCAUAAGGGCUAAAUUCACAAUUAAGAAAAUAGCUUAAACCCAUUAUUGGUUUUUAACUAUUUAAUCAUACCAACGUGAUAAUGUUUGAUACAUUGAUGGUAUAUAAUCUAAUCCAACAAUGCAUUAAAUAUAAAUCCAUUAGAAGGUUGCAUUCCCACGUUCUUCCUAAUAAACUUAUUUUAAUAGCAACAUUUUCUUUUACUGGAAGUCAUUCCAGUCGCUCAAUUGCUUGCUUAAACCCCGUUGCUGGUUUUUAAUUGUUUAAUCAUAUGGAACAUUCCACUUUGUUUAUGAUUAACCUAUUUUAAUAGCAGUAUUUUCAUUUUACGAAACUGAUUCACUUGAAAACAUUUUUUUCUUAAAUUUAAUUUUAUGGAUUCUUAUUCUCCGCUAUAUAUCUCCCUUAAUUGCGGUUGUUGGUUCUUGGGAAUGUCACACAAACAUACCUGCAGACAAGUCUUCACUAAAAGAAUGGAAACGCAAGCCUCUGCGUACACUCCACAUGAUGGUAUUUUGAAUAAGAAGUUGGAAUACUAUGCAUAAAGAAACUAGACAAGUGGGUUGCAGCUUCUAAUGCUAUUUCAUCACAACAAAUUGGUAGGGGCUAUAAUAAAGGAGUCAAGAAUUGACAAUUCUAAGUUGGAUACCUAGUUUUAAGGUGUUGUGAAGCAAUACCAAACUAGCAGGAGAAUGCAAAAAAACUCUCACCAACACUUGGGAAAACAAUGUUGAACUUUCACGAGAUUAGUGGUGCUUAUACAAGCUUAAGAAUUCACAACUAUACCAAUAGGCAUGAUACCAUUUAUGCAAAAAACUACAAUAUUCAGUACUUUUAAAUAUACACUAGCCAUGUUUAGGCUUAUAUUCAAAUUACUACCAUAUUAUCUAUUAGUAAAUCUUACUCUAUAACUUUCUCCAUAUUUCCUUUUGAAACUUUAACUAUAAUAUCGUUUUGCUUUGACGGUGAAUUCUUUUUACUAUGAAAUUGUACUGUGUACACUAUGUAUUCGGCCUGGAAGAUCAUAUUAAUUAACUAAAAUCACUCUUAAAGAGAAGAUUCCUCCCCCACACAUCAAUUACAUGCCUUAACCCAGUAUUUUAAUACUCAUCAUUGUAUUCACUGCCCCCACUCAUAUUUCAACAACAUUUUUGGUCCAACAGAUAUUUAGUGAAAUGCGGAUUCUAUCUCCCAUGAAUUCAAAUAAGUAACUUGGUUGUGUAUUAAUAAUCUUUGAACCAUUUAUUUUGAUUAAAAGUAUUUGAAUUUUAUCAUGUCAUAUUUAAAUAUACGUCAUGAUGGACACGAACAUUUUAAAAUAAAACUUGAUAGAUAAGGAUAGGUAAGGCAUAAUAAAAGGAUGUUUUUUUUUUCUGAAAGAUGCAAAACAAGUGGUUGCUCCAAAUUUGUGCUACGUAAAAAGGGUAGCAAUUUAUUGAGAGUGAAGUGAAAUGAAGAGACAAGAAGCAGGGGCAGGAAUAAGAAUAGUUGUAUGUUAUUUUUAUGCAAACAUUCGAAGCUAUAUUGAGAAGAUAUAAAGUGAGAGAUGCCUAAUCUAAUUAGUGAUUAUUAAUCAGCAACCACUUAAAUCCAAUUAUCAUCUUAAAUUCUUAUUAUUCUAAUCUUACGAAGAAUUCCAGAUAUCCGAACUUGAGCAAUAUUCAGUUUGGGAAGAUGCUCUAAGCAAUAUAAUGUUUGUCUAAUCAUAAAUAUAUUAUUCUUUGUCGACGUCACUUGCACUAAUUACAUUAGUUUUGUUCUCUGUCCUUUCUGAAAGAUGCUACCAUUUCUAUAUUUCUAAGCUUACAAUUUAUUACCCCUUUGUAAAAACUCUAUUAACAAAUGGGUACGGUUCAACCAAUUAGGUUUCUAAUUUUCAGUUUAAAAUAUUAAAUGUAAAUAACGAUUGUGAACGGGGUUUAAAGUUAUACUAGUUGGGGAGAGGGGAUGACUCACCUUUAACUAGUUGAAGUGAUUGGUAUUAGAGAAUCACUUUUUUAAUUAAAACCUCUUCAGUUGGAUCGAGUUAUUGCGGAAUUGGAUUGUUUAUUGGUAUGAUUCUUGACGAUUGUUUUAUGUUACGAUCAUAUUUUAGAUCGUUGUCCUUCCAAUGGACUUGUUGGGAUGUUAAUAAAGUAGUCUUACUACAUGCAAACCACACUAAAUGAAAUAUACUCCCCACUAAAUACUUUGAUUACUAUUGAUUUGAUUCUUUGAUGCAUCAUGAGAAUAAAGGACCACGAAUGAAAUGUAUGGGAUAAAUCUAUUGACUUGGGUUAAUUAUCCCUCGCCUAUGUCUCUUGUGUUUGCUUUUAUUUUUACCAAUCAGUUGCCAUGAGUUCUACCAAAUCAGUUUUUUAACUGACAAUAAAAAAAAGAAUUGGAAAGUGAAAACAAGGAGACCAUAAUGAGGGUGAAUUCCGUGAGUAACUGGUUUUAGGGAAGCAGUUGAUUUUGGAAAUGGUAGCCACGCAAAAGCCACAUUGUUUCUUUCUGCAUGCAACAUCCGCACUUAACCUAAACAUAAUUUGGUUGUUCAAUGAAUCCAAACCCCACUUCCCAUGAUAAAUAGUGUAAUUAAAUUAAACAAACGAGAAGUAAAAGGAAAGCAAAAGGCAAAAGAAUCAUAUGAACAGAUAGCCACAUAAACACCCGCCUUUUUUUAUUUUAUUCUUUUGAUUUUCAUCAGCAAAGCGAUGGUAUUCGAAAUGAUUUGUGAUAAUGAGGAAUUUUUUAAUCUUUAUUAGUGGAUAAGUGAGUUUUACAUUUAUGGGAAACACUACACUUGCUUCUAUUAAUUUAUUAUUAUUAUUUUGUGUUUGCAUUUUUCUCCCUAUAAGAAGGCCAAUUCUGAUUUAUAACUUCCAAGCCUCAGUGCAAGCGGUGGUGGAGAGAUAGAAGAGAGAAAAAUGGGGGACCAAACAUCAGGUGCAGCAGCUUCCUCUAAUGUGUUGAACAAAGCGAAGCCAUACUUGGCUAUCAUCUCCCUGCAGUUUGGAUAUGCAGGGAUGUACAUCCUCUCCACCAUUUGUAUGAAGCAUGGCAUGAGUAAUUUCAUUCUUGCUACCUACCGUCAUGUUGUCGCCACCAUUGUCAUUGCACCCUUUGCCUUUUUCCUUGAAAGGUUCAUUUUUCUCCCCAAUCUCACUACACACUUUCAUGUAGAGACAUGCAUAUAUAAUCCCCAGCCUCAUUGCUGCCUUUGCCAUUCGUUUGUAUAUGCAGGAAAAUUAGGCCAAAGAUGACCCUGCCUAUCUUCCUCAGGAUUGUUGUUCUCGGCUUCCUGGAGUAUUGCUCUAAACUUAUCGCAUCUUUGUUAUGCAUUUACUAAAUGCAUGUAAUUUCUUGUUUGUUGAUAUAUUUAUGAAGAAAUAGAGUUGACAGUGGAAUAUAUAUGCGCAGGCCAGUGCUUGACCAAAACUUAUACUAUCUGGGAAUGAAGUUCACAACAGCAACAUAUUCAUCUGCUUUCGUCAACAUGCUUCCUGCUGUUACUUUCAUAAUGGCCAUGAUUUUCAGGUAAAAUCCAUCACUUCCAUUAACAUAUGCCACUGCACACUACACCACACCACAUCAGAUAACUUAAAAGGUUCCAUCAUGAUCUUCAUAUCAUCGAUAAGAUUGAAGGAAAUUAUCAUUUUUUAAUGGGUAAUUAUUUAUGUCAAAUAGGUUGGAGAAAAUCAAUUUGAAGCAAAUACACAGUGUUGCAAAGUUGGUUGGAACUGCAAUCACAGUGGGGGGUGCAAUGGUGAUGACCUUGUACAAAGGCCCCAUUAUUGACUUCGUCAAGUCAGGUGGAGCCACACACCAUGGCACUACCACCGAAUCUGCUGGUCAACACUGGGUUUCUGGCACCGUAGCGCUUCUUGGAAGUAUCGUUGGCUGGUCAAGCUUCUUUAUUUUGCAAGUUAGUUGAAAUAUUCACGUCUCUUAUUGAGCAAAGAUAGUUCAUUAAAACUAUUUAAUUGUUUACGCGCUAACGUUAAUGGGUUAUUGUUUCUGGUCCAGUCCUUCACAUUGAAGAAGUACCCAGCAGAGCUGUCUCUUACAGCUUGGAUAUGUUUCAUGGGAACGGUGCAAGAUGCAGGGCUGUCGUUUAUCAUGGUUCGUGAUCUAAGCGCCUGGAAAAUUGGGUUCGACUCCAGGCUUCUUGCUGCAGCUUACUCUGUAAGUCCAUUUUUCCCCAUCCAUGAUGCACUCUAAACGUCUUACUAAUCAGUAACCACAAAUGCUUAACACUUCAAAAUAAUCUGUGAUUGAUUAGGGAAUAGUGUGCUCCGGGAUAGCCUAUUACGUGCAAGGCAUCGUGAGCCGGGCACGAGGGCCGGUCUUUGUAACAGCUUUUAGCCCUCUAUGCAUGAUCAUCACUGCUGCGCUAGGGGCCUUUGUGUUAAAUGAAAAAGUCCACCUUGGAAGGUAUGAAAUUAACAGCAAUCUAACAUGUUCCUGCAACAACUUGCACUUUGAUCUUUAACAAAUAUGUUAUGAUAAGAAAUUUCACUGACACAUGAAAUAAUAUUACGGUGCACAAUAUAUCAAAGUUUUAUUAGAGAAUAUUACUUUUGCAGAUAGUGACAAAAUGCACUGUCAAGUAGUUCUCUUUGCUUUUAUUAACCAUCCAUUAAACAAUUUAGAAGUCUUAUUCAUUUAGUGGAUUUCUGCAUUGGUAUUCCUUGCUUCCCAUUACUCAUUUGCUUCUUUAUCUUUUAUUUGGUUGAUUUCAGCAUACUGGGAGCCAUUAUCAUAGUCUCAGGCCUUUACACUGUGGUUUGGGGCAAAAGCAAAGAUGUGAAAACCCCAGAACUUGAAGAGAAAAGCAACGGCCUGCAGGAGCUGCCAAUCACAGACAAUGGUAGAUCAAUGAAUGAUAUUGAUGGAGCUGCCAAUGCUGUUAACAUUCCAGAUUUAAAGAACACCUUCAGCACUCGAGGAACAUAAAACAAUAUCCAAUAUUUCCCUUAAAAUUGAUAUGUUUCGAGCAGAGUAGUUCUUCCCAAGGCGGUAAAAACUACUAUAUAUGUAAU